CCAAAACGACUCUCGGCAACGGAUAUUUCGGCUUUCGCAUCGAUGAAGAACGUAGCGAAAUGCGAUACUUGGUGUGAAUUGCAGAAUCCCGUGAACCAUCGAGUCUUUGAACGCAAGUUGCGCCCGAAGCCAUUAGGCCGAGGGCACGUCUGCCUGGGCGUCACG
RNAcentral lists this ribosomal RNA (165 nucleotides) under Solenandra lineata. RNAcentral describes it as "Exostema lineatum 5.8S ribosomal RNA". It matches the Rfam family "5.8S ribosomal RNA". From Rfam's summary of the family: 5.8S ribosomal RNA (5.8S rRNA) is a component of the large subunit of the eukaryotic ribosome. The record is from RNAcentral. Lineage: Eukaryota; Viridiplantae; Streptophyta; Magnoliopsida; Gentianales; Rubiaceae.